This 1739-nucleotide ribosomal RNA is filed under the name Escherichia coli. Its description in RNAcentral is "partial 23S ribosomal RNA". It matches the Rfam family "Bacterial large subunit ribosomal RNA", at positions 1013 to 2736 of the family's 2925-position model. Lineage: Bacteria; Pseudomonadati; Pseudomonadota; Gammaproteobacteria; Enterobacterales; Enterobacteriaceae. The record is from RNAcentral.
AAGAGGGAAACAACCCAGACCGCCAGCUAAGGUCCCAAAGUCAUGGUUAAGUGGGAAACGAUGUGGGAAGGCCCAGACAGCCAGGAUGUUGGCUUAGAAGCAGCCAUCAUUUAAAGAAAGCGUAAUAGCUCACUGGUCGAGUCGGCCUGCGCGGAAGAUGUAACGGGGCUAAACCAUGCACCGAAGCUGCGGCAGCGACGCUGAUGCGUUGUUGGGUAGGGGAGCGUUCUGUAAGCCUGCGAAGGUGUGCUGUGAGGCAUGCUGGAGGUAUCAGAAGUGCGAAUGCUGACAUAAGUAACGAUAAAGCGGGUGAAAAGCCCGCUCGCCGGAAGACCAAGGGUUCCUGUCCAACGUUAAUCGGGGCAGGGUGAGUCGACCCCUAAGGCGAGGCCGAAAGGCGUAGUCGAUGGGAAACAGGUUAAUAUUCCUGUACUUGGUGUUACUGCGAAGGGGGGACGGAGAAGGCUAUGUUGGCCGGGCGACGGUUGUCCCGGUUUAAGCGUGUAGGCUGGUUUUCCAGGCAAAUCCGGAAAAUCAAGGCUGAGGCGUGAUGACGAGGCACUGCGGUGCUGAAGCAACAAAUGCCCUGCUUCCAGGAAAAGCCUCUAAGCAUCAGGUAACAUCAAAUCGUACCCCAAACCGACACAGGUGGUCAGGUAGAGAAUACCAAGGCGCUUGAGAGAACUCGGGUGAAGGAACUAGGCAAAAUGGUGCCGUAACUUCGGGAGAAGGCACGCUGAUAUGUAGGUGAAGUCCCUCGCGGAUGGAGCUGAAAUCAGUCGAAGAUACCAGCUGGCUGCAACUGUUUAUUAAAAACACAGCACUGUGCAAACACGAAAGUGGACGUAUACGGUGUGACGCCUGCCCGGUGCCGGAAGGUUAAUUGAUGGGGUUAGCGCAAGCGAAGCUCUUGAUCGAAGCCCCGGUAAACGGCGGCCGUAACUAUAACGGUCCUAAGGUAGCGAAAUUCCUUGUCGGGUAAGUUCCGACCUGCACGAAUGGCGUAAUGAUGGCCAGGCUGUCUCCACCCGAGACUCAGUGAAAUUGAACUCGCUGUGAAGAUGCAGUGUACCCGCGGCAAGACGGAAAGACCCCGUGAACCUUUACUAUAGCUUGACACUGAACAUUGAGCCUUGAUGUGUAGGAUAGGUGGGAGGCUUUGAAGUGUGGACGCCAGUCUGCAUGGAGCCGACCUUGAAAUACCACCCUUUAAUGUUUGAUGUUCUAACGUUGACCCGUAAUCCGGGUUGCGGACAGUGUCUGGUGGGUAGUUUGACUGGGGCGGUCUCCUCCUAAAGAGUAACGGAGGAGCACGAAGGUUGGCUAAUCCUGGUCGGACAUCAGGAGGUUAGUGCAAUGGCAUAAGCCAGCUUGACUGCGAGCGUGACGGCGCGAGCAGGUGCGAAAGCAGGUCAUAGUGAUCCGGUGGUUCUGAAUGGAAGGGCCAUCGCUCAACGGAUAAAAGGUACUCCGGGGAUAACAGGCUGAUACCGCCCAAGAGUUCAUAUCGACGGCGGUGUUUGGCACCUCGAUGUCGGCUCAUCACAUCCUGGGGCUGAAGUAGGUCCCAAGGGUAUGGCUGUUCGCCAUUUAAAGUGGUACGCGAGCUGGGUUUAGAACGUCGUGAGACAGUUCGGUCCCUAUCUGCCGUGGGCGCUGGAGAACUGAGGGGGGCUGCUCCUAGUACGAGAGGACCGGAGUGGACGCAUCACUGGUGUUCGGGUUGUCAUGCCAAUGGC